RNAcentral lists this ribosomal RNA (407 nucleotides) under uncultured bacterium. RNAcentral's name for it is "bacterial SSU rRNA". It matches the Rfam family "Bacterial small subunit ribosomal RNA", at positions 917 to 1322 of the family's 1533-position model. The record is from RNAcentral.
GGGCCCGCACAAGCAGUGGAGCAUGUGGUUUAAUUCGAAGCAACGCGCAGAACCUUACCACCACUUGACAUUACCAUCGCGAUUUCCGGAGACGGAUUUCUUCAGUUCGGCUGGAUGGAUAACAGGUGCUGCAUGGCUGUCGUCAGCUCGUGUCGUGAGAUGUUGGGUUAAGUCCCGCAACGAGCGCAACCCUCGCCUUUAGUUGCCAGCAGUUCGGCUGGGCACUCUAGAGGAACCGCCGGUGAUAAGCCGGAGGAAGGUGGGGAUGACGUCAAGUCCUCAUGGCCCUUACGUGGUGGGCUACACACGUGCUACAAUGGCAGUGACAAUGGGCAGCGACCCCGCAAGGGUGAGCUAAUCUCCAAAAGUCGUCUCAGUUCGGAUUGUCCUCUGCAACUCGAGGCAUG